This is a long non-coding RNA of Stylophora pistillata, 669 nucleotides long. Lineage: Eukaryota; Metazoa; Cnidaria; Anthozoa; Scleractinia; Pocilloporidae. The record is from RefSeq and is a predicted model, not a curated record.
UUUAUCGUCAAGGCAUGCUUUUUAACUUAAACGUAGACUCAGACCUAAUGCAUGUACAUCAGCUUUUCGUCUCUGUUUAACUCUUAACAUAAAAUACACAUGGUAACCGGCUGACAAGAAACGCUGAAACAACCGUGUGCAUCCUUAGGGAGCCCUUAGAACACAACAGCAACAAGAACAGCCAAAAAUCGAGUUGGAUGGGUGUCCUUAGAUUUACUGAUCGACAGAAAGAUUAACUUCCCCUCAGCGACAAGUAAAUGUUGGGAACACUCCAGGAGGAUAUCGUUUAACCUACCAUGGUGCAGUUCAGUCUAAUUUACAGUCGCUUUCAACUUACGUGGCACACAAGCACCGCAGGUUGCCUAUUAAGGAAGCCCUGACAAAGCGAUCUUACACCAGAUGGAAUUCAGCCACAGAAAUUGUAAACAAAACCCGAGAACAGACAUCGAGAGCAUGCGUUUCUGAAGCUUGCGACAAAGGUUUUUAAGGAACACAAUCAAGAGACACGACUAGAAAAAGCAAAAGAGCUUCUUUGUUUCGGAGGUUCCAUGGACUUUUCUAGCAAUUUCCUCUGCUUCAGCAAUUCUUUUACCUGACAACAUGACAAGAAAAGAUGUUUAAAACUUUUAAACAGCGCAAACGUUGGUACAAUAAAGGUUACUUACAGUA